Xenopus laevis (African clawed frog) is the source of this 515-nucleotide long non-coding RNA. RefSeq lists it as uncharacterized. The record is from RefSeq and is a predicted model, not a curated record. NCBI's taxonomy places the organism in Eukaryota, Metazoa, Chordata, Amphibia, Anura, Pipidae. The transcript is spliced from 4 exons.
UAUUACCACUGAUACAAAUGCAAAAAUCUGCAGUGUGCAUAUAUAUGUAUUACUGAGCAGUUCUGUAGCUUCUGGAUUAUAUAGGGAGUUGGAGGGGGCUGUAAUGUGAUAUUAGUUCUUUAUUUUGUGAAUUAGCUACUGGUCUGGCUGAACCAUGCUCUUUAUUUAGAGGAUCAUAGGCAGCUUUUUCUCUGGAGUCUUCUACCUAUGUCACAGAUGGAGCCAGAAUUGAGCAGAACAGGGAGAGACUCGGCGCAGCUUCCUAGUGAGCCUCUGGUUAGUAAGUAGGGACCAGAAUGGUGAAUCAAAAGGAAUUAAAAAAGUGCAUGUUUAACCCACACAGAUCCACAGGCCAAGUGCUUAUAUAUAGACUGGAGAACCCCAAGGUGACAUCCUCAUCUAUUACAACAAGGGUUGGAAUGCAAGUAACAAUAACAAUUUGGACUGGGUGUAACUGAAGGUCUCGCUCUGAGCACCAGCGAACGGAUCUGCCUUUUGCAGCUACUGCACUUCGC